GUGAGAUCGCCAGGUGACUGACCCCCGGCCCUGACCGCAGCAUGCCCCUUAGGCAGUUCCAAGCCUGCCCAACCAGACUGUGGGCCCCGCUCACCUUCCCCUUCCCACAGGUUCUACAAGCUGCACGAGCGGAGGUGUGAGCCCAUUGCCAUGACAGUGCCUCGAAAGUCGGACCUGUUCCAGGAGGACCUGUACCCACCCACCGCAGGGCCUGACCCUGCCCUCACGGCUGAGGAGUGGCUGGGGGGUCGGGAUGCUGGGCCCCUCCUCAUCUCCCUCAAGGAUGGCUACGUACCCCCAAAGAGCCGGGAGCUGAGGGUCAACCGGGGCCUGGACACUGGGCGCAGGAGGGCAGCACCAGAGGCCAGUGGCACUCCCAG
This 380-nucleotide small RNA is filed under the name Pongo abelii (Sumatran orangutan). RNAcentral describes it as "retained intron". The record is from RNAcentral. Lineage: Eukaryota; Metazoa; Chordata; Mammalia; Primates; Hominidae.